RNAcentral lists this transfer RNA (69 nucleotides) under Torleya mikhaili. RNAcentral's name for it is "tRNA-Val". The record is from RNAcentral. Lineage: Eukaryota; Metazoa; Arthropoda; Insecta; Ephemeroptera; Ephemerellidae.
CAAAAUAAAGCUUAAUAGUAAGCACCCCACUUACACUGGGUAGAAGUUGUGCAAAUCAAUCUAUUUUGA